AGUGAACGCUGGCGGUAGGCCUAACACAUGCAAGUCGAACGGCAGCACAGUAAGAGCUUGCUCUUACGGGUGGCGAGUGGCGGACGGGUGAGGAAUACAUCGGAAUCUACUUUUUCGUGGGGGAUAACGUAGGGAAACUUACGCUACUACCGCAUACGACCUACGGGUGAAAGCAGGGGAUCUUCGGACCUUGCGCGAUUGAAUGAGCCGAUGUCGGAUUAGCUAGUUGGCGGGGUAAAGGCCCACCAAGGCGACGAUACGUAGCUGGUCUGAGAGGAUGAUCAGCCACACUGGAACUGAGACACGGUCCAGACUCCUACGGGAGGCAGCAGUGGGGAAUAUUGGACAAUGGGCGCAAGCCUGAUCCAGCCAUACCGCGUGGGUGAAGAAGGCCUUCGGGUUGUAAAGCCCUGUUGUUGGGAAAGAAAAGCAGCAGGUUAAUACCCCGCUGUUCUGACGGUACCCAAAGAAUAAGCACCGGCUAACUUCGUG
This 492-nucleotide ribosomal RNA is filed under the name uncultured bacterium. RNAcentral describes it as "partial 16S ribosomal RNA". It matches the Rfam family "Bacterial small subunit ribosomal RNA", at positions 29 to 507 of the family's 1533-position model. The record is from RNAcentral.